AACGAACGCUGGCGGCAUGCCUAACACAUGCAAGUCGAACGAGACCUUCGGGUCUAGUGGCGCACGGGUGCGUAACGCGUGGGAACCCGCCCUUAGGUUCGGAAUAACUCCCCGAAAGGGGAGCUAAUACCGGAUAAUGUCUUCGGACCAAAGAUUUAUCGCCUUUGGAUGGGCCCGCGUUGGAUUAGCUAGUUGGUAGGGUAAAAGCCUACCAAGGCGACGAUCCAUAGCUGGUCUGAGAGGAUGAUCAGCCACACUGGGACUGAGACACGGCCCAGACUCCUACGGGAGGCAGCAGUGGGGAAUAUUGGACAAUGGGCGAAAGCCUGAUCCAGCAAUGCCGCGUGAGUGAUGAAGGCCUUAGGGUUGUAAAGCUCUUUUACCCGGGAUGAUAAUGACAGUACCGGGAGAAUAAGCUCCGGCUAACUCCGUGC
RNAcentral lists this ribosomal RNA (434 nucleotides) under uncultured bacterium. RNAcentral describes it as "partial 16S ribosomal RNA". It matches the Rfam family "Bacterial small subunit ribosomal RNA", at positions 29 to 508 of the family's 1533-position model. The record is from RNAcentral.